UACAGAGGGGGCAAGCGUUGUUCGGAAUUACUGGGCGUAAAGGGCGCGUAGGCGGCCUUCUAAGUCGAACGUGAAAUCCCCGGGCUCAACCCGGGAACUGCGUCCGAUACUGGAAGGCUUGAAUCCGGGAGAGGGAUGCGGAAUUCCAGGUGUAGCGGUGAAAUGCGUAGAUAUCUGGAGGAACACCGGUGGCGAAGGCGGCAUCCUGGACCGACACUGACACUGAGGAGCGAAAGCCAGGGGAGCAAACGGG
This 253-nucleotide ribosomal RNA is filed under the name uncultured bacterium. RNAcentral's name for it is "partial 16S ribosomal RNA". It matches the Rfam family "Bacterial small subunit ribosomal RNA", at positions 524 to 776 of the family's 1533-position model. The record is from RNAcentral.